UAAAAACGGACUGACCGAAGCCUGCACUAGCCUUCUAACAGGCUUUGAGGUAUCGCUGCAGGCUGCCACUGCCCAAGUUGAUCUCCGGACUGAACCAGAAACUCGAACGGACCGAGGAGGAGCUCGGGCACGUGAAGAAGCAGUUGGAGGAGAGCCAAGGGGCCACGACCGAGGUGGUCGCCCUUAAGAAGGCGCUAGCCGAGGCCGAGGACAAAGCGGCCAAGGAACGCGCGUCGCGCGAGAAGCACGAGGCCUGGGUUGGCGAGGCGCAACAGCAGCUCCAGGACGCGAUAGAGAAGUUUGAGUCCUUGGAGCGCGAUUUUAAGGUGCAGGAGUCCGAAUUGGCGAAGGCUCGUCAGAGCGCGCAGGAUGCACGAGCCGAGGCCCAGAGCUCCCUCCAGUAGAUUCAAGUGGCCCAGAAAAUUGCGGCGGGGGCAUUUGCAGGUCUGCCGCACAGUGUGUCGGACGCGGCCGAGAAUUAUAGAGCCGGAGAAGGGAUGUCAAUGGAGAAGCUGUUCUGGUCCCAAUAUCUGGGAUCCUAACAUCCGGUGAUCUUCAGCGACCAGCUAAAGCAGCUGGUCGAACUGCACAGGUUGGCCGAACUGGCCAUGAAGACCUGAUAGUCCGGCUGUGGCCUGCCGAUUGUACACCUGUCAGCUAUUUCGGACUUGUGCAGCGGCUGGUGAGUGCCUGUCCGCGGCUCGAAGCCGUGAAGCGGUCGGUCUGUAUUGAAGGUGCGCGUAUGGCUUUUGCUCGCGUCAAGACGCAUUGGGCAAAGCUGGAUGCCAAGAAGCUGAUGACCGAGGGACCGCCAGAGGGCAAGGAGCAUCGUCGACCCGAGCAUUAUUUCGAUGGUGUCCUGGAGGGUUCCCGCCUUGCGGCGGAGGAAUGUUUGAAGGAUAUUAUUUUCCCACAAGAACAUGUGUAUUAUCUUGCCAUGUAAUAUGGAACAAGGAUGUUAUGUAGUAUAAUGUUUAUGAUCUUAAAUUUUUA
Molecule: long non-coding RNA, 993 nt
Organism: Aegilops tauschii subsp. strangulata
Lineage: Eukaryota; Viridiplantae; Streptophyta; Magnoliopsida; Poales; Poaceae
Source: RefSeq, a predicted model, not a curated record